Molecule: ribosomal RNA, 253 nt
Filed under: uncultured bacterium
Lineage: Bacteria
Description: partial 16S ribosomal RNA
Rfam family: Bacterial small subunit ribosomal RNA
Source: RNAcentral
UACAGAGGGGGCAAGCGUUGUUCGGAAUUACUGGGCGUAAAGGGCGCGUAGGCGGCCUGCUAAGUCGAACGUGAAAUCCCCGGGCUCAACCCGGGAACUGCGUUCGAGACUGGCGGGCUUGAAUCCGGGAGAGGGAUGCGGAAUUCCAGGUGUAGCGGUGAAAUGCGUAGAUAUCUGGAGGAACACCGGUGGCGAAGGCGGCAUCCUGGACCGGCAUUGACGCUGAGGCGCGAAAGCCAGGGGAGCAAACGGG